Molecule: ribosomal RNA, 250 nt
Filed under: uncultured bacterium
Lineage: Bacteria
Also listed under: 1 other name
Description: partial 16S ribosomal RNA
Rfam family: Bacterial small subunit ribosomal RNA
Source: RNAcentral
UACGUAGGGGGCAAGCGUUAUCCGGAUUUAUUGGGCGUAAAGCGCGCGUAGGCGGCUUGUUAAGUCAGGCGUGAAAUCUGGGGGCUCAACCCGCAGCUUGCGUCUGAAACUGGCAGGCUUGAGUCUGGUAGAGGAAAGUGGAAUUCCUAGUGUAGCGGUGAUAUGCGCAGAUAUUAGGAGGAACACCAGUGGCGAAGGCGGCUUUCUGGGCCACGACUGACGCUGAGGCGCGAAAGUGUGGGGAGCAAGC